This is a long non-coding RNA of Astyanax mexicanus (Mexican tetra), 355 nucleotides long. RefSeq lists it as uncharacterized. NCBI's taxonomy places the organism in Eukaryota, Metazoa, Chordata, Actinopteri, Characiformes, Acestrorhamphidae. The record is from RefSeq and is a predicted model, not a curated record. The transcript is spliced from 4 exons.
GCGUUGCAUCAUUUCAUUUGGGGUCGAGUUUCUAUGUGAUGUGAGCAGGCUUCGGGCUGAGAGUGAGCUGUGUUCAUCUUCCUUUUUUUCAUUUGAUCUGCUGCACACCAUCCUUUUUGGAGACUGCUGUGCUGCACCUAUCUAAACCACCAUUCCCUAUUUUAUGGAUGGAAAGCUGCAAGUUUACAAUCUUCUCUUGUAAUAAGUCCCCUGGACCCUCAUGGACCCAGCAGGCAGAAGUCUGGAUCUUCAGACUGGGUUUUACCCAGUGAAAUGUCAUUGUUGGAGACCACUAUGUGCUCCUCACCUCACUGAGCGAUUAUUCUUCAUUCGUCUUGGACCUACUGCUACUGCU